AAGUCGACUUCGUUGUGUGUUUCAGACGUUGAAGACCUAAAGCGUCGGGGAGCGUACUAGGAUUAGAAACCCCGGUAGUCUAAGCCGUACAGAUGUACGCAUGGCAUGGGGGGUAUAGAUACCUCUCCGUGCCGAUGCUAGCGUGUUGUGCGUCCCGCUCGAAGACUACGGCCGCAUGGAUUAACCUGGAUUGACAUGAGAGGGACCCACACAAGCAGCGGAGCGUGUGGUUUAAUGAGAUGGUACAAGAAGAACCUCACCUGGACUUGACAGGUAGGUAGCAGGGAAGUGAAAGCGGAAUGUCCAUUAGGGGAGCCUACAUAGUUGUUGCAUGGGAGUUGUCAGUUCGGAAAGCGAGGUGUCGGGUUAAGUCCCGUAACGAACGCAACCCUUGCCAUUAGUUACAUGUGUUUAAGGGGACUGCCCGGGACAACUGGGAGGAAGGUGGGGAUGACGUCAAGUCAGCAUGGCCUUUAUGUCCAGGGCUACUCACACGCUACAAUGGCCGGUACAAUGGGUCGCCAAGCCGUGAGGCGGAGCCAAUCCCCCAAAGCCGGUCUAAGUUCGGAUUGUGGGCUGCAACUCGCCCAUAUGAAGCAGGAGUUGGUUUGUAACCGGGCGUCAGCAAUAGUGCGGUGAAUACGUUCCCGGGCCUUGUACA
RNAcentral lists this ribosomal RNA (661 nucleotides) under uncultured organism. Its description in RNAcentral is "bacterial SSU rRNA". It matches the Rfam family "Bacterial small subunit ribosomal RNA", at positions 718 to 1387 of the family's 1533-position model. The record is from RNAcentral.